RNAcentral lists this ribosomal RNA (477 nucleotides) under uncultured bacterium. Its description in RNAcentral is "bacterial SSU rRNA". It matches the Rfam family "Bacterial small subunit ribosomal RNA", at positions 25 to 518 of the family's 1533-position model. The record is from RNAcentral.
CAGGACGAACGCUGGCGGCGUGCCUAACACAUGCAAGUCGAACGGAGUCAAGAAGCUUGCUUUUGACUAGUGGCGGACGGGUGAGUAACGCGUGAGUAACCUGCCUCUGAGAGGGGAAUAACGUUCUGAAAAGAACGCUAAUACCGCAUAAUGUAUCGAAGCCGCAUGACUUUGAUACCAAAGAUUUUAUCGCUUGGAGAUGGACUCGCGUCCGAUUAGUUAGUUGGUGAGGUAACGGCUCACCAAGACCGCGAUCGGUAGCCGGACUGAGAGGUUGAUCGGCCACAUUGGGACUGAGACACGGCCCAGACUCCUACGGGAGGCAGCAGUGGGGGAUAUUGCGCAAUGGGGGCAACCCUGACGCCAGCAACGCCGCGUGAAGGAUGAAGGUUUUCGGAUUGUAAACUUCUUUUAUCAGGGACGAAGCUUGACGGUACCUGAUGAAUAAGCUCCGGCUAACUACGUGCCAGCAGCCGC